This 253-nucleotide ribosomal RNA is filed under the name uncultured bacterium. Its description in RNAcentral is "partial 16S ribosomal RNA". It matches the Rfam family "Bacterial small subunit ribosomal RNA", at positions 524 to 776 of the family's 1533-position model. The record is from RNAcentral.
UACAGAGGUCCCAAGCGUUGUUCGGAUUCACUGGGCGUAAAGGGUGCGUAGGCGGCUUGGUAAGUUCGAUGUGAAAUCUCCGGGCUUAACCCGGAAAUGGCAUUGAAUACUAUUGAGCUGGAGGUUUGGAGGGGGGACUGGAAUUCUCGGUGUAGCAGUGAAAUGCGUAGAUAUCGAGAGGAACACCAGUGGCGAAGGCGAGUCCCUGGACAACACCUGACACUGAGGCACGAAAGCUAGGGGAGCAAACAGG